This 221-nucleotide unclassified non-coding RNA is filed under the name Glomeraceae sp. RNAcentral describes it as "partial contains 5.8S ribosomal RNA and internal transcribed spacer 2". The stretch from base 1 to 71 matches the Rfam family "5.8S ribosomal RNA", at positions 84 to 154 of the family's 154-position model. Lineage: Eukaryota; Fungi; Glomeromycota; Glomeromycetes; Glomerales; Glomeraceae. The record is from RNAcentral.
GUGAAUCAUCAAAUUUUUGAACGCAAAUUGCGCUUCCUAGCAUCCCGGGAAGUAUGCCUGUUCGAGGGUCAGUAUUAACAAAAACGUCGGUUUGGUUGCAAAUUGUGACGUUUCCGGAGUUUGGGCUAUCUUAACCUUUUUGGUUAAGGGGCAUAAAAUUGACCUUUUUUGCGCGUCUUUAGCCGUACAUAAUUUUUUUAUUUAUUUGUCUAUUCUUAAUG